GAGUAACACGUGGGUGAUCUGCCCUGCACUUCGGGAUAAGCCUGGGAAACUGGGUCUAAUACCGGAUAGGACCACGGGAUGCAUGUCUUGUGGUGGAAAGCGCUUUAGCGGUGUGGGAUGAGCCCGCGGCCUAUCAGCUUGUUGGUGGGGUGACGGCCUACCAAGGCGACGACGGGUAGCCGGCCUGAGAGGGUGUCCGGCCACACUGGGACUGAGAUACGGCCCAGACUCCUACGGGAGGCAGCAGUGGGGAAUAUUGCACAAUGGGCGCAAGCCUGAUGCAGCGACGCCGCGUGGGGGAUGACGGCCUUCGGGUUGUAAACCUCUUUCACCAUCGACGAAGGUCCGGGUUCUCUCGGAUUGACGGUAGGUGGAGAAGAAGCACCGGCCAACUACGUGCCAGCAGCCGCGGUAAUACGUAGGGUGCGAGCGUUGUCCGGAAUUACUGGGCGUAAAGAGCUCGUAGGUGGUUUGUCGCGUUGUUCGUGAAAUCUCACGGCUUAACUGUGAGCGUGCGGGCGAUACGGGCAGACUAGAGUACUGCAGGGGAGACUGGAAUUCCUGGUGUAGCGGUGGAAUGCGCAGAUAUCAGGAGGAACACCGGUGGCGAAGGCGGGUCUCUGGGCAGUAACUGACGCUGAGGAGCGAAAGCGUGGGGAGCGAACAGGAUUAGAUACCCUGGUAGUCCACGCCGUAAACGGUGGGUACUAGGUGUGGGUUUCCUUCCUUGGGAUCCGUGCCGUAGCUAACGCAUUAAGUACCCCGCCUGGGGAGUACGGCCGCAAGGCUAAAACUCAAAGGAAUUGACGGGGGCCCGCACAAGCGGCGGAGCAUGUGGAUUAAUU
Molecule: ribosomal RNA, 845 nt
Filed under: Mycobacterium tuberculosis
Lineage: Bacteria; Bacillati; Actinomycetota; Actinomycetes; Mycobacteriales; Mycobacteriaceae
Description: bacterial SSU rRNA
Rfam family: Bacterial small subunit ribosomal RNA
Source: RNAcentral